RNAcentral lists this long non-coding RNA (1435 nucleotides) under Podarcis muralis (Common wall lizard). RNAcentral's name for it is "lncRNA (ENSPMRG00000018725.1)". Lineage: Eukaryota; Metazoa; Chordata; Lepidosauria; Squamata; Lacertidae. The record is from RNAcentral.
GUUUGUUGUCCAACUUUUGAUUUUCAUUUUCUUUAAUUGCACAAUUGUUGCUUAAUAUAUAUAUAUAUAUAUAUAUAUAUAUAUAUAUAUGGGACGUGGGUAGCGCUGUGGGUUAAACCACAGAGCCUAGGACUUGCCAAUCAGAAGGUCGGCAGUUCGAAUCCCCGCGACGGGGUGAGCUCCCAUUGCUCGGUCCCUGCUCCUGCCAACCUAGCAGUUCGAAAGCAUGUCAAAGUGCAAGUAGAUAAAUAGGUACCGCUCCAGUGGGAAGGUAAAUGGCGUUUUCGUGUGCUGCUCUGGUUCGCCAGAAGCGGCUUAGUCAUGCUGGCCACAUGACCUGAAAGCUGUACACCGGCUCCCUCGGCCAAUAAAGCGAGAUGAGCGCCGCAACCCCAGAGUCGGUCAUGACUGGACCUAAUGGUCAGGGGUCCCUUUACCUUUAUAUAUAUAUAUAUAUAUAUAUAUGGACCUAAUGGUCAGGGGUAACUUUACCUAUAUACAUAUAUACAUAUAUACAUAUAUAUAUAUAUAUAUAUAUGAAUGUGACUUCUGACUUCUGCUAAAUAUCUGCUAAAUGUGCAGCACUAAAAAAGUGGCUUCUGCGAAAUAAAGCAUUUCCCCACUGAACUGACCUUCCCAAGCCCUCGGCGCCUCCUUAUCAAACUUGCAGGACCCAGACAGGCUGCAAUCCUGCUUCCCUUCAUUUCCCCGCCACCCCCGCCUUCCUCGUGGUCUUUCUGAUCAAGCCAGGCGCUCUCCCGGCCUCCUUCCAUUGUUAUCCCUCCCGCCUCCCCCCCACCCCGGCUCCUCGUCGCAAUCGCAUCACGUGACGCCGCCCUCCGCGGCUCUUCCUCCUCCUCUCGCUGGCGAUCACGUGUCUGCGAGCUCUUCGCUCCCGCCCCGAAGCCGCCUCGGCUGCUGCUUCUUAUUCAUUCGUCGGCGCGUCUUAGCGACGGCAGCGCACAAUUUCGGGCUACUGCUGCCGCCGCCGGUCUCGUUGCGGGAAACGGCGCCCAGUUUUCAACAAACAUUUGAAGUUUUGACUGAUCCGCUUUGGGUUGUUGCCUGCUAAAUCCUAUCAACGAGGUUGUGUGUACAAAACAAGCUCCCUUUACUCCUGGAUAGACUUCACAUGCAGUUUGCAAGAUGACGCCAAAGCAUGAAAAACAGGUAAGUGCUUCAAUUUGUGUGUGUGUUGCUUUUUUAGUUUGGAAGGGGGUGUUUUCCCUAGAAAUAUGGAACUUUGUUUUAUACUACUAAAAGCAGAAAUGUUCUGCAAAAUGUUUCUGCGUUGAUCAGCCACUAUUCAGCGAACAGCUUGCAAGUUGGGUGUGACUAUAUCACCAACCAGCACUGAGUAAACAGGGCAGCUUAUAUCUGGGGUAGCAUCUUAGGAGACAAAGUAGGUUGUGUAAUUGCUGCAAUGAAGAGAUGG